Alexandromys fortis (reed vole) is the source of this 458-nucleotide long non-coding RNA. RefSeq lists it as uncharacterized. NCBI's taxonomy places the organism in Eukaryota, Metazoa, Chordata, Mammalia, Rodentia, Cricetidae. The record is from RefSeq and is a predicted model, not a curated record. The transcript has 3 exons.
UGGCACUGAAAACAUCACUAGAAGAACCAAGAGCAUAUGAAAAGAAGCCAGCACCUUGGGAGAAAAACUUGAAGAAAAUGCCGCUGAGAGCAGAGCAUUCAACUGCGGCUUUGUGGCAGGAGGCAGCAAGGGAGUGGCUCUGGCGGAAGGCCUCCACUCCUCAGCAGCCCCGGGUGUGACUGCGGGCAGCGGGGAAGCACGUGCCCAGGACAUGGAGCUGAGCCCGAGUUGUGCACAGCAAAGCAGAACCCAGCAGAGUCAGCUUGUGGCGGGUUUUUUGAGCUAGUGUCUCUCCUGCAGCCCCAGCUAGCCUCCCACCUUGUGCAGCUGUGAUCUUAACUUUCAGUUCUCACGCCUCCUCCCGAGUGCUGGGAUUACAGCCUGGGCUGCCCAAGCCAUUUUCCUGCAUACCUGUAGCUGCUCUAACAGACAGACCGUGAUCCGGAGCCCAGGAAAAC